GACGAACCGUGCGAACGUUGUUCGGAAUCACUGGGCUUAAAGGGCGCGUAGGCGGCUUGCCAAGUCAGGGGUGAAAUCCUGCAGCUUAACUGUAGAAGGGCCUUUGAUACUGGCGAGCUCGAGGGAGGUAGGGGUAUGUAGAACUUCCGGUGGAGCGGUGAAAUGCGUUGAUAUCGGAAGGAACGCCGGUGGCGAAAGCGACGUACUGGACCUCUUCUGACGCUGAGGCGCGAAAGCUAGGGGAGCAAACGGG
RNAcentral lists this ribosomal RNA (253 nucleotides) under uncultured bacterium. RNAcentral describes it as "partial 16S ribosomal RNA". It matches the Rfam family "Bacterial small subunit ribosomal RNA", at positions 524 to 776 of the family's 1533-position model. The record is from RNAcentral.